UGGCCUGGUGGCGCAACGGCAGCGCGUCUGACUCCAGAUCAGAAGGUUGCGUGUUCAAAUCACGUCCGGUCAU
Molecule: transfer RNA, 73 nt
Filed under: Caerostris extrusa
Lineage: Eukaryota; Metazoa; Arthropoda; Arachnida; Araneae; Araneidae
Description: tRNA-Trp
Rfam family: tRNA
About the family: Transfer RNA (tRNA) molecules are approximately 80 nucleotides in length.
Source: RNAcentral